Molecule: non-coding RNA, 100 nt
Organism: Mycena capillaripes
Lineage: Eukaryota; Fungi; Basidiomycota; Agaricomycetes; Agaricales; Mycenaceae
Source: the annotation of a GenBank genome assembly
GGCUUGGUAGUGGACGGAUCCACAUCUGCUUUCCAUACGUGGGAACUGCUCGAAGGAUCAUAUGAUGCAGACAAUGCCUGUUCGACUCAGGCCCGAGCCA